GGCGAAGCGUGCGAUUGGAUUGCACGUCUAAGCAGUAAGGCUGAGUAUUAGGCAAAUCCGGUACUCGUUAAGGCUGAGCUGUGAUGGGGAGAAGACAUUGAGUCUUCGAGUCGUUGAUUUCACACUGCCGAGAAAAGCCUCUAGAUAGAAAAUAGGUGCCCGUACCGCAAACCGACACAGGUAGUCAAGAUGAGAAUUCUAAGGUGAGCGAGCGAACUCUCGUUAAGGAACUCGGCAAAAUGACCCCGUAACUUCGGGAGAAGGGGUGCUCUUUAGGGUUAACGCCCAGAAGAGCCGCAGUGAAUAGGCCCAAGCGACUGUUUAUCAAAAACACAGGUCUCUGCUAAACCGUAAGGUGAUGUAUAGGGGCUGACGCCUGCCCGGUGCUGGAAGGUUAAGAGGAGUGGUUAGCUUCUGCGAAGCUACGAAUCGAAGCCCCAGUAAACGGCGGCCGUAACUAUAACGGUCCUAAGGUAGCGAAAUUCCUUGUCGGGUAAGUUCCGACCCGCACGAAAGGCGUAACGAUUUGGGCACUGUCUCAACGAGAGACUCGGUGAAAUCAUAGUACCUGUGAAGAUGCAGGUUACCCGCGACAGGACGGAAAGACCCCGUGGAGCUUUACUGUAGCCUGAUAUUGAAAUUCGGCACAGCUUGUACAGGAUAGGUAGGAGCCUUUGAAACGUGAGCGCUAGCUUACGUGGAGGCGCUGGUGGGAUACUACCCUAGCUGUGUUGGCUUUCUAACCCGCACCACUUAUCGUGGUGGGAGACAGUGUCAGGCGGGCAGUUUGACUGGGGCGGUCGCCUCCUAAAAGGUAACGGAGGCGCUCAAAGGUUCCCUCAGAAUGGUUGGAAAUCAUUCAUAGAGUGUAAAGGCAUAAGGGAGCUUGACUGCGAGACCUACAAGUCGAGCAGGGUCGAAAGACGGACUUAGUGAUCCGGUGGUUCCGCAUGGAAGGGCCAUCGCUCAACGGAUAAAAGCUACCCCGGGGAUAACAGGCUUAUCUCCCCCAAGAGUUCACAUCGACGGGGAGGUUUGGCACCUCGAUGUCGGCUCAUCGCAUCCUGGGGCUGUAGUCGGUCCCAAGGGUUGGGCUGUUCGCCCAUUAAAGCGGUACGCGAGCUGGGUUCAGAACGUCGUGAGACAGUUCGGUCCCUAUCCGUCGUGGGCGUAGGAAAUUUGAGAGGAGCUGUCCUUAGUACGAGAGGACCGGGAUGGACAUACCUCUGGUGUACCAGUUGUCGUGCCAACGGCAUAGCUGGGUAGCUAUGUGUGGACGGGAUAAGUGCUGAAAGCAUCUAAGCAUGAAGCCCCCCUCAAGAUGAGAUUUCCCAACUUCGGUUAUAAGAUCCCUCAAAGAUGAUGAGGUUAAUAGGUUCGAGGUGGAAGCAUGGUGACAUGUGGAGCUGACGAAUACUAAUCGAUCGAAGACUUAAUCAA
RNAcentral lists this ribosomal RNA (1440 nucleotides) under Staphylococcus aureus OCMM6035. RNAcentral's name for it is "bacterial LSU rRNA". It matches the Rfam family "Bacterial large subunit ribosomal RNA", at positions 1485 to 2925 of the family's 2925-position model. Lineage: Bacteria; Bacillati; Bacillota; Bacilli; Caryophanales; Staphylococcaceae. The record is from RNAcentral.